AAACCGGUGUUAUUCAACACCACCCUACUUGGAAGUCGAGACAGUUU
Molecule: non-coding RNA, 47 nt
Organism: Helicosporidium sp. ATCC 50920
Lineage: Eukaryota; Viridiplantae; Chlorophyta; Trebouxiophyceae; Chlorellales; Chlorellaceae
Source: Rfam